Daktulosphaira vitifoliae (grape phylloxera) is the source of this 946-nucleotide long non-coding RNA. RefSeq lists it as uncharacterized. The transcript has 3 exons. The record is from RefSeq and is a predicted model, not a curated record. Lineage: Eukaryota; Metazoa; Arthropoda; Insecta; Hemiptera; Phylloxeridae.
AUUUCCAGAAUACUUUCAAAAAUUAAUGAGGUAUUUACCUCUCAUUUUAUUCAUGAGAGGUAAAUACCUCAUGUAUCCAUAAAAAAAAAAUAUCGAUUUGGUCAUUUUUAAAAAAAAUUAUGGCAGUUUUAAGUAAAUAAAAUUGAAAAAAUGUCAAAAAUUAAGAUUUUUAAAUUUGUAAUUUUUGGACAUUUCCCCCAUUUACGAGGAACGAGGAAAUUUUUUCAACUUUUGUGAGUAAUGUCUUCGACUAGGUAGGAUUUGAGAUUUUUUGACGUAUCGUGUAAGAAAUCGGUUCGGUGAUAGCUGAGAAAAAGUGGUAACAGACACAAAAAAAAUACAUCAGAGUAAAAUUAAUACCUUCUCAGCUUUGCAUCGAAGCUAAAAUUAUUGUGAAAUUUCACAAUAGAGUCGCAUCAAAAUGUUUUUAAUGAUUUAUUUGUAAAAAUUACAAAAAAAUAUUGAAUAUAAAUUUUAUACUAUAUUUAUUAAAGUUUUAAACUAUUUACAGAUUUGCAUCUAAGCAUAGCGGUGUUUAUCACUGGCAGAUAUCAUAUACAGAAUGUUCAGUAAGGUAAAGGGAGAAUUGCUUUCUUUUUAUGCUAAUUCUGAACAUAUGGAUAAAUAACCGAAGUGCAUAUUUACGGCAUUUAAACAUGAACACAGCAUAUGCUUUAGCAAAGUCUGAUACACAUGUAAUUGAAUGGAUUGGUGCCAAGUAAGGUUGACCUAUGUGAUAACCAUCAGUAAGAAGAGUGUCUGUCUACCGGCUGUGGUAAUGGACGAGUUUGAGUUUUAAAUUGUAUUUGAUAUGAAUAAAAGUUAUGUUAGAGCAUAAGAAUUUUGUUGUAUUUAAUUCGAUUAUUAGUUAUAUGAUAAUAUCAUGUUAAUUAAAUUAUUACUUACCAUAUCCAGCCAAGCAUUUGUAACAACAAUUUGAUUUUUU